RNAcentral lists this long non-coding RNA (506 nucleotides) under Phoenix dactylifera (date palm). RNAcentral describes it as "long non-coding RNA (PDAC_LNC015312)". Lineage: Eukaryota; Viridiplantae; Streptophyta; Magnoliopsida; Arecales; Arecaceae. The record is from RNAcentral.
CAACCUUUACAAGUAGUUUAAUAAACAAAGGAAGAAGAUUUAAACUCCUAGAUGAGCAAAUAUAACAAUAUAAUCUACAAAGAAGAGUUUAGAGAAUAUUUAUCGCUUGAUGUGACUUCUCUCUUCUUUGUCAAGGAUGAUUCACUCUUCAAGGGUGGAUGGAGCUCUUGAUGACUCUUUGAAUCUGCUCAACCACUUUCUUUUGACUCUUGAAUGAAGCACUUGGAUGAAGAAGAUUAGGACACUUUCUCUUUCUUGUGUACUCUUUGAUAUUCUUUGGAAAGGAUGUUCUAUCUGAUGAAUAGUGCCACUUUAAAUAGUUUUCUUCAUCCAUUGGACAAGCCCCAAUGGUUAGAAUUCAAAAACUAGCCGUUACUCACUGUUGGAAGGACAAAAAGUACUUCUGCAGAACUAGCCAUUAUGCUUCUGCCCGUGUUUGGGUCGGCUCAACCUGUCCUUGGGUCGACCCAACUUUCACUUGGGUCGACUCAAACAUUUCUUGGGUC